Molecule: ribosomal RNA, 254 nt
Filed under: uncultured bacterium
Lineage: Bacteria
Description: partial 16S ribosomal RNA
Rfam family: Bacterial small subunit ribosomal RNA
Source: RNAcentral
UACGAAGGGGGGCUAGCGUUGUUCGGAAUUACUGGGCGUAAAGCGCGCGCAGGCGGUCUUCCAAGUCACCUGUGAAAUCUCUGGGCUCAACUCAGAGUCUGCAGGCGAAACUGCCGUGCUGGAGUAUGGGAGAGGUGCGUGGAAUUCCCGGUGUAGCGGUGAAAUGCGCAGAUAUCAGGAGGAACACCAAUGGCGAAGGCAGCUCGCUGGGCGUGACUGACGCUGGAGACGCGAAAGCGUGGGGAGCAAACAGG